GGACAGCCAUCGCCGAGUCCCAUGGUGCGAGUGCCAGGGGAGCCGGGGACCCAAACGUCCCUGGGGUGAAUCGGACGCCUUCCCCGGCCGGGGGAGGGGCCCGUAGGAGACCUUCCUGCUCCGAACCCGUCAGCUAACCCGGUAGGCGAGAAGGAAGGAAAG
This 162-nucleotide small RNA is filed under the name Streptomyces hygroscopicus. RNAcentral's name for it is "c-di-AMP sequence". It matches the Rfam family "c-di-AMP riboswitch aptamer (ydaO/yuaA leader)". Rfam says of the family: This family represents a conserved RNA structure found upstream of the ydaO and yuaA genes in Bacillus subtilis and related genes in other bacteria. The record is from RNAcentral. Lineage: Bacteria; Bacillati; Actinomycetota; Actinomycetes; Kitasatosporales; Streptomycetaceae.